CUACGGUUUUGCUCGCAUCGACCUUCGUGAGCAACCGCUAUGUUAGCAACCAUAGAUCGCAUACACUAGUGGAAAAAUCGUAACCAAGAAACCAUUGUAGACCAUUACGAUUUGUUUGUUAGCUUGACCAUCAUAGACUCCGACCUUCAGUUAGUUAACCGUCACUCAUGGUUCAUUCGCGUCCUCGUACAAACUGCAAAUAUACUAGCUAAGUACCAGAGGAAAAUUGCGUAAAUGCAUCAAUACCAUUCUUCUUGGCUGAUUAGUAACCCUAGACCUAUUAUUGUCAUACUCUUGUGGCAAGUCAAUCAUCCGUGCACUCCGAAUUAUGGUACCGUCUCCGUCAUCAUCCGCACAUCGCUUGGCGUACAGCUGCAGUUGGUCCAGCGAAAUAACCCCUGGAUAGUUUGCCAAGUUCCCUCCAAACUACAGAAUUUCAACUGAUGAGUUCUCUCCAGGACCAUACGUGUCGGAAGAAUAAUAAAUUUGAUUGGUUUUUUUUUUCUGGAUUUUGAAUGCAUGUUCAUUCCCAUCCCUCGGCUCACAUCGUUUCAGAUACUGUCGGGAAAAUUCGACAGUAUCACGGAGGACAUAAUGAAGUGAACAAUAUUGUACUAAAAUAUGUCUAUGUAAAUAAAUAUUUGGUGCAAAUGGUUUUGUUCAGUUUUUUUUUGCAUUCUUGAAAAAGAUAAUAAGCUGCUAAGGUCUCGGGUGUGGUUCUAUUUAUGUAAGUGUUCGGACUAGGUAAAGUUAUUGGGAAAUUUCAAAAAGCUGAACACUGCAAUCAUUUUUGAACAUUAUCCAAAUAUUAUCCGUAGAAUAGAUUGAUUCAAAAUAAAAUGGAAAGAAUAGGUUGCUCCUACUGCGGCCAGCAGUUAUCCUGAAUGAAAUGAUAUUUCAUAACUACACUGGCUCAAUAACUCAAGAGCCUUCACUACUCGU
Molecule: long non-coding RNA, 942 nt
Organism: Aedes albopictus (Asian tiger mosquito)
Lineage: Eukaryota; Metazoa; Arthropoda; Insecta; Diptera; Culicidae
Exons: 2
Source: RefSeq, a predicted model, not a curated record